UGGGGAAUCUUGCGCAAUGGGCGAAAGCCUGACGCAGCGACGCCGCGUGAGUGAUGAAGGCCUUCGGGUUGUAAAGCUCUGUGGGGAGAGACGAAUAAGGUCCACCUAAUACGUGGAUCGAUGACGGUAUCUCCUUAGCAAGCACCGGCUAACUCUGUGCCAGCCGCCGCGGUAAGACAGAGGGUGCAAACGUUGUUCGGAAUUACUGGGCGUAAAGCGCGUGUAGGCGGCAGGGCGUGUCGGAUGUGAAAUCCCGUGGCUCAACCACGGAAGUGCACCCGAAACUGCCCAGCUUGAGUCUCGGAGAGGAAGGCGGAAUGCUUGGUGUAGAGGUGAAAUUCGUAGAUAUCAAGCGGAACACCGGUGGCGAAGGCGGCCUUCUGGACGAUGACUGACGCUGAGACGCGAAAGCGUGGGGAGCAAAC
This 425-nucleotide ribosomal RNA is filed under the name uncultured bacterium. RNAcentral describes it as "bacterial SSU rRNA". It matches the Rfam family "Bacterial small subunit ribosomal RNA", at positions 355 to 773 of the family's 1533-position model. The record is from RNAcentral.